RNAcentral lists this ribosomal RNA (468 nucleotides) under uncultured bacterium. Its description in RNAcentral is "partial 16S ribosomal RNA". It matches the Rfam family "Bacterial small subunit ribosomal RNA", at positions 28 to 507 of the family's 1533-position model. The record is from RNAcentral.
GACGAACGCUGGCGGCGUGCUUAACACAUGCAAGUCGAACGGAAAGGCCCUGCUUUUGUGGGGUGCUCGAGUGGCGAACGGGUGAGUAACACGUGAGUAACCUGCCCUUGACCUUGGGAUAACUUCAGGAAACUGGGGCUAAUACCGGAUAGGAGCCCCUGCUGCAUGGUGGGGGUUGGAAAGUUUCGGCGGUUGGGGAUGGACUCGCGGCUUAUCAGCUUGUUGGUGGGGUAGUGGCUUACCAAGGCUUUGACGGGUAGCCGGCCUGAGAGGGUGACCGGCCACAUUGGGACUGAGAUACGGCCCAGACUCCUACGGGAGGCAGCAGUGGGGAAUAUUGCACAAUGGGCGGAAGCCUGAUGCAGCAACGCCGCGUGCGGGAUGACGGCCUUCGGGUUGUAAACCGCUUUCGCCUGUGACGAAGCGUGAGUGACGGUAAUGGGUAAAGAAGCACCGGCUAACUACGUG